RNAcentral lists this long non-coding RNA (1450 nucleotides) under Nicotiana tabacum (common tobacco). RNAcentral describes it as "long non-coding RNA (NTAB_LNC007655)". Lineage: Eukaryota; Viridiplantae; Streptophyta; Magnoliopsida; Solanales; Solanaceae. The record is from RNAcentral.
CCUCUACUGAUAAACUGACGCACUGCUCAGGACAUGAGAUUUCCUAGUCAGUUCUCUAGAUAAACAAAGAAAUAGCUAAAUGAAAAUGACUCUAAGAAUACUCCACGAACAAAAGCGGAGCUCACCAAUAUCACUGGAAGGGAAGGAAGUCCUAACUCGUAGCCUGCUCGCCUGCAAAUCCGGUUCCUACGUUGUACCGCAGACCAACGUAGGUUCCCAAAAGAGAAUGUCAGUAUCAUCCAAUGUACUCAGUGAGUUUCAACAGCAGGGGGAGAAACUUUAAUAACAUAUACAUUACGAGUAAAGGUUCGAAAUGCAUGUAAAACAUAAAGCUUAUAAGAAUAAUUCUAAAAUAAUUGCAUAAUAGCAAUUUAUGAAUAUUCUAAAAGAAAUUCUUUUUUUUUUCUUUCUUUAAAAAAAAUACUUCACUUUAUACUUUGGGAGUUCCAACUAUCCUGACUCAAUUCUGUCUCAGUCACCGUGUGAUCGGCACGGGUUCGAUCCCAACCUGAUCGAAUAGGCCCAAUCCACGAGGUGUCACUCGCUUCAUGAUUCUCAGCGCUCAUGUAUCAUACCUUAGUAUGGCUAAGUAAAUUCUCAGCAACGAGACCCUCGGCUCGUAUGCUCCCUACUUUGGCACAAGUAGUUUCAGGAAGUCAACGCCUUGGUCAGGACCCUCGGCCUGGACGAUGACCCCUUCUCAGAAUAACGGAUACUCCCCAAAAAUCUUUUCUAUCUAAAACUUCUUCCUUGUGACUUUUUCAAGUCUAAAUCUUUUCUUUAUAGAACAUUAUGUACAUGCUCAUAUUGGUGCCCUUAAAUGUAAAGCAAGACAUAAGAAUGAAAUAAACAUAUAAAAAUAUUUCUAAAGACUCUUUCUUCUUCAUAAUCUUCAACAUGAAAAUAGCAUAUAAGAAUAACACAAAAAUCUGAAAAUUUAAGCACAUAUAGCAUAAUAGAUCAUCUAAACUUUUGCUAGAACAAUUCUAAAUUAAUGGGUACUCACUCGCUCUAAUUAAAUAAAGAUAAACUCUUUUAAGCAAUUCAUCAAACACCUUGUAUGUGUGCUUUUGUGAGUUAAACCACUUUAGUAAAGGGUUAUGUCAACUCACCUCAAAACUUCUCGAGCCAAUACGUAGACUCCAAUCCAAUUUAUAUCCGUCAAACAAUUGAUUCUACAACAACCAGUGUAUUUUAAUUAAUUUUCAAGUACUACACCUAAUUAUGAACUUUAUUGAUGAUAUAGAGGAAGAAGGGAAUUAGCUAUUCAAUCUUACCUGUUACUACUGUAGGGUAAUUGAUAAUAGGGAUUUUACAUACCUGAGUUCAAGAAUUAGUGACUUGUAAAGAAACCUAAACUUCGCGUUGCCUGCGGGAGUACUGAGCAACAAGACUUUGUCUUACGAUUCUGCGUUUGUGCGUGAACGAGGGCCCUUUUUUUAACUUAACG